RNAcentral lists this unclassified non-coding RNA (218 nucleotides) under Hevea brasiliensis (rubber tree). Lineage: Eukaryota; Viridiplantae; Streptophyta; Magnoliopsida; Malpighiales; Euphorbiaceae. The record is from RNAcentral.
CUUCGGCAACAACCUCGAUCACCGCGCCGAUGGAUGAACCGCGCUUGCGGAUGUCGUCGAGAUACUCGGCGAAGAAUUCGGCCUUCGCCUUGUCGGGACAGAAGAACGGAUUGCGGCCGACCUCAUCCCAGUCCCACGCCGCGCGAUCGAUCUUGUGCGGACCCAUCUGCACCAGCGCGCCGCGCACACGCACAUCGGGAAUGAUCUUCCGCGCGACG